Molecule: long non-coding RNA, 400 nt
Organism: Mercenaria mercenaria
Lineage: Eukaryota; Metazoa; Mollusca; Bivalvia; Venerida; Veneridae
Exons: 3
Source: RefSeq, a predicted model, not a curated record
UAGCUGAUCCCUCCACUGUAACAAACCUAUAUUAUCAACACAUAUAAAUGCAUAUUUCAGAUUGGUACUUGAAAGUCAAUGGUUGAUCAAGAUGACCAUCUUUUAUUUAAUGGAGAAAGAAACCAAUAUUUGCAGCUGGACAGGCUGUCACCACAGUUCAAUGAUUCAGUUAAGACAAUGAAAUUGAAGAACUCAACACUUGCACCAGUGGAAGUACUUCUUAUUGGAUAGAGAACUUUUCAAGGUCAGACAUCAGCUUUUGAAGUUGCUUUCUUGGCACAUCAUGCUGUCCAGUGGAGUUCAUACCAUAUGCCAGGCCUUUAUACAUGGUCAAAGAAGAUGAAUUUGUUAUUCAAUUUGUGAAAUUUGAUUUAGCGAGGACUUUCAUAUAUGAUGAUUA